CCUAAGGUAGCGAAAUUCCUUGUCGGGUAAGUUCCGACCUGCACGAAUGGCAUAAUGAUGGCCAGGCUGUCUCCACCCGAGACUCAGUGAAAUUGAAAUCGCCGUGAAGAUGCGGUGUACCCGCGGCUAGACGGAAAGACCCCGUGAACCUUUACUAUAGCUUGACACUGAACAUUGAAUUUUGAUGUGUAGGAUAGGUGGGAGACUUAGAAGUAGUCACGCCAGUGAUUAUGGAGUCGUCCUUGAAAUACCACCCUUUAACGUUUGAUGUUCUAACGAAGAUUACGAAACGUGGUCUCGGACAGUGUCUGGUGGGUAGUUUGACUGGGGCGGUCUCCUCCCAAAGAGUAACGGAGGAGCACGAAGGUUUGCUAAUGACGGUCGGACAUCGUCAGGUUAGUGCAAUGGUAUAAGCAAGCUUAACUGCGAGACAGACAAGUCGAGCAGGUACGAAAGUAGGUCAUAGUGAUCCGGUGGUUCUGAAUGGAAGGGCCAUCGCUCAACGGAUAAAAGGUACUCCGGGGAUAACAGGCUGAUACCGCCCAAGAGUUCAUAUCGACGGCGGUGUUUGGCACCUCGAUGUCGGCUCAUCACAUCCUGGGGCUGAAGUAGGUCCCAAGGGUAUGGCUGUUCGCCAUUUAAAGUGGUACGCGAGCUGGGUUUAGAACGUCGUGAGACAGUUCGGUCCCUAUCUGCCGUGGGCGUUGGAGAAUUGAUUGGGGCUGCUCCUAGUACGAGAGGACCGGAGUGGACGCACCACUGGUGUUCCGGUUGUGUCGCCAGACGCAUUGCCGGGUAGCUAAGUGCGGAAGAGAUAAGUGCUGAAAGCAUCUAAGCACGAAACUUGCCAAGAGAUGAGUUCUCCCUGUUUUUAAGACAGUAAGGGUUGUUUAAGACUAAGACGUAGAUAGGUCUGGUGUGUAAGCGGUGCGAGCCGUUGAGCUAACAGAUACUAAUUGCCCGAGAGGCUUAACUAU
Molecule: ribosomal RNA, 977 nt
Filed under: human gut metagenome
Description: bacterial LSU rRNA
Rfam family: Bacterial large subunit ribosomal RNA
Source: RNAcentral